AUGAUAUUUUUGAAAGAAAAAUAAAAAACUAUAGGAUCAAAAUACAAUUAAAAAAAUUUAUAUCAUGUCGGAGGAUCGCCCAAGUCAGUAGUCUCGACGAACUGGAGCGCACCGUGUGGCAAGGCAUGCUGACUCGGUGCCACGCGGGAGGUCACGCUGGUAAUCCGCGUGCUAGCAAUUGAAUGGUCCAGAUACGUUCCUGCGCGCGUGGACGGUCCGAAUCUUUUUCCUCCUCAAAUGUGAUCAGACUAUCGCGAUUAAACAUGAUGAAUGGCUCAGAUUCGUUCUCUCUUUAAACACGAUCGUACGAUCCAGAUUCAUUUUUUUUUAAAUACGAUUGGACGGUUGAGAUCAAACAUAAUGAACGAUUCAGAUUUAAGGAAGACAAGUAUAAAUAUCUUACUUCACACCGAACUUAUACCCUAAUUGUAAGCCGACCACUACCGUGCCAGAGCCACCUCCAACUGUCAAAAAAAGGUAAAAGUUUUUUUAUUCACUUGAAAUUUGAUUUUGAAUACCCCAAUGGCCAAAUUAGAGCAAAAGGAACGGCAGAUGAGCCAGAAAUUGCAGGUAAAGCCCAGCAGCACUGUCGCAGAAAAAAUAAAAAAUUGUCUCCGAUGAGCCAUUUCUUGUUUCCUAUUUUAUGCAAUU
RNAcentral lists this long non-coding RNA (651 nucleotides) under Carica papaya (papaya). RNAcentral's name for it is "long non-coding RNA (CPAP_LNC007298)". The record is from RNAcentral. Lineage: Eukaryota; Viridiplantae; Streptophyta; Magnoliopsida; Brassicales; Caricaceae.